Molecule: non-coding RNA, 718 nt
Organism: Misgurnus anguillicaudatus (oriental weatherfish)
Lineage: Eukaryota; Metazoa; Chordata; Actinopteri; Cypriniformes; Cobitidae
Source: RefSeq, a predicted model, not a curated record
GUUCUUAGGUAAUAGAAACAAUUCAGUUCAUUAUGUAAGGUCCUUAUACACCACUGAUAAUAUAGUUAUGUAUAUUAUUUAGCAUUUUUGUCUUUUUUAAAAGUAACACAAUGCACCUGUCACAUAUACAGCGUUCGAUUCGCCUUGUGAAAAUGACUACAUUUCCCAUAAUGCCCCUAGUGCACUAAAGGACACUGUAGUCCCGAUAAUCAAACUGCCGGUGUAACAUGAUGGACUACGUGAGAUCUUUGUUUUGCCUUGUGGAGCUGUAUAUAAUAAAGCGAGGUAUUUUUAAUCUGAACUAACACAUAGAUUUCACUCGUUGUUCUACAACACUCGAUUUACCAGAUGGUUUGUUACUGUUUUCUGUGAUGACAUUUUUUGUUUUUAUGGUUAUGAUGAAAGCAACGCAAGCUGCAUUAAUGCAGGCCCCCUUGUAUAAACACUGUCCUGCUAUCACAGGAGGACUGGACAUGCUUUACGAGUUAAAAAACAAAAUAUCUCGGUCCUCACACCGGCACUGCCAAAACGAUUUACGCUUCGGAGUGGAAGCAUCUCUCAGGAAUGCAACUUCAAGGACUACGAUCUGUGAGGACAUGAUUUAACGCGCCCCGGAGAUAACCCCGGACGUAAACAUGUCAACGUGACGUAGGGCGUACCGGUUAAAAGUUCAACGCUACGUGGGCGGUCCGGUUAAAAGUUCAGCGCAGCGUGGGCG